UAUACAUCCAAAGAUCAUAGAAAGAGGGGGGGGGGGGGAAGGAAGAGAGAAACAUACAAAACUUAAGAUAUAUCAAAUUAAGUGGUGUUUCACUUUUUUGAGAUCCAAACAAUACAAAUCGCAGAGAGUCCACAUCGUUCAAAACAUGCUCACUGCAAUAAUUAUGCAUCGAGUCAGCGUAUUCAAAGAUCACACAUGUCAAAUGAUAUAGUUUUCUUAAUGUAAAAGAAAUCAAAUCCCACUUAUUCCAAAUACAGUA
Long non-coding RNA from Telopea speciosissima, 259 nucleotides. RefSeq lists it as uncharacterized. The transcript is spliced from 2 exons. The record is from RefSeq and is a predicted model, not a curated record. NCBI's taxonomy places the organism in Eukaryota, Viridiplantae, Streptophyta, Magnoliopsida, Proteales, Proteaceae.